This 224-nucleotide ribosomal RNA is filed under the name uncultured bacterium. RNAcentral's name for it is "partial 16S ribosomal RNA". It matches the Rfam family "Bacterial small subunit ribosomal RNA", at positions 112 to 334 of the family's 1533-position model. The record is from RNAcentral.
CGAACGUACAGAACCUUCCUUUAAGCGGGGGAGUAGCCCGGAGAAAUCCGGAUUAAUACCCCAUAGUAUUGUUGUGUGGCAUCACAUAAUAAUUAAAGAUUUAUCACUUAGAGAUGGCUGUGCGGCUGAUUAGGUAGUUGGUUGAGGUAACGGCUCACCAAGCCUUCGAUCAGUAACUGGUGUGAGAGCACGACCAGUCACACGGGCACUGAGACACGGGCCAG